Molecule: ribosomal RNA, 944 nt
Filed under: Basidioascus undulatus
Lineage: Eukaryota; Fungi; Basidiomycota; Geminibasidiomycetes; Geminibasidiales; Geminibasidiaceae
Description: LSU rRNA
Rfam family: Eukaryotic large subunit ribosomal RNA
Source: RNAcentral
AGCAUAUCAAUAAGCGGAGGAAAAGAAACUAACAAGGAUUCCCCUAGUAACGGCGAGUGAAGCGGGAAGAGCUCAAAUUUGAAAUCUGGCACCCUUCGGGGUGUCCGAGUUGUAAUCUAGAGAGGCGUUUUCCACGCUGGUCCACGUAUAAGUCUCCUGGAACGGAGUGUCAUAGAGGGUGAGAAUCCCGUCCUUUACGUGGGCUACCAGUGUUUCUGUGAUACGCUUUCUAAGAGUCGAGUUGUUUGGGAAUGCAGCUCAAAAUGGGUGGUAAAUUCCAUCUAAAGCUAAAUAUUGGCCUGAGACCGAUAGCGAACAAGUACCGUGAGGGAAAGAUGAAAAGCACUUUGAAAAGAGAGUCAAACAGUACGUGAAAUUGUUGAAAGGGAAACGCUUGAGGUCAGUCGCGCCUUUUGAGACUCAGCCUUCCUUUUGGUUGGUGUACUUCUCAAGAGGCGGGUCAACAUCAGUUUCGACCGGUGGAUAAAGGCGGGAGGAAUGUGGCUUCCUCGGAAGUGUUAUAGCCUCCCGUUGGAUACAUCGGUUGGGACUGAGGAACGCAGCACGCCGCAAGGCAGCCCCUCGGGGACUUUCGUGCUUAGGAUGUUGACAUAAUGGCCUUAAGCGACCCGUCUUGAAACACGGACCAAGGAGUCUAACAUAUCUGCGAGUAUUUGGGUGGCAAACCCGAGUGCGCAAUGAAAGUGAAUGCAGGUGGGAAGCGCAAGCUGCACCAUCGACCGGUCUGGAUUUUUAAUGAUGGAUCUGAGUAAGAGCAUAUAUGUUGGGACCCGAAAGAUGGUGAACUAUGCCUGAAUAGGGCGAAGCCAGAGGAAACUCUGGUGGAGGCUCGUAGCGAUUCUGACGUGCAAAUCGAUCGUCAAAUUUGGGGUAUAGGGGGCGAAAGACUAAUCGAACCAUCUAGUAGCUGGAUACCUGCCGAA